GUGCCAGCCGCCGCGGUAAUACGUAGGUGGCGAGCGUUAUCCGGAUUUAUUGGGCGUAAAGUGAGCGCAGACGGUCUUUCAAGUCAGAUGUUAAAUCUCUCGGCCCAACCGGGAGAUCGCAUUUGAUACUGUUGGACUUGAGGACAACAGGGGGAAGUAGAAUUCCCGGUGUAGUGGUGGAAUGCGUAGAUAUCGGGAGGAAUACCAGUGGCGAAGGCGGCUUCCUGGGUUGUUUCUGACGUUCAUGCUCGAAGGUGUGGGGAGCAAACAGGAUUAGAUACCCCCGUAGUCC
Molecule: ribosomal RNA, 292 nt
Filed under: uncultured bacterium
Lineage: Bacteria
Description: partial 16S ribosomal RNA
Rfam family: Bacterial small subunit ribosomal RNA
Source: RNAcentral